This 10027-nucleotide long non-coding RNA is filed under the name Mytilus galloprovincialis (Mediterranean mussel). Lineage: Eukaryota; Metazoa; Mollusca; Bivalvia; Mytilida; Mytilidae. The record is from RNAcentral.
CAUUUCAUCUGGAGACGAAAGACGAACCAUAUCCGUGUCUACCAUAUUGUGUCAAUUGUUGUGAAUUUCAUUAUUGGUAAGUCUUAAAACCAAUUAUACGCAGAUGUCACUAUAUCCUAACUAUAUUGAUAUGUUUAUCAAAUUCGAAGUAUAUCUAAAUGAUCUAGGAAUAUUAUAACUAUUGCACACAUGUAUAAUGACGGUUGUGUACAUCAUCAACAAUUAAGGGAUACGGAUAUAUAUACAAAUUCUUCUUGUGUGCAAAUCCCUGUUUUCUAUUGUAUUAUUGUAAUUUGUGCACUGUUGAAAUAUAAAAUUGUUAAAACUAACGAUAAUCAGUAAAGUAUACUAUAAUGCAUGUUAUUUCAAAGUUGCGUUGUGAAAACAGUCCCAUAAUGUUACCUAAUUCUCUAGCAGACAGCAACAAUGUUGAUGACGAACCAAGCGUUCGAAUGGGAUAUCACCAAUCCAUUAUAGUUGUAUUCAAGUACGAAUUCCCUUUUCCUUCGAGUUUAAUAAACAUAUAGACAGUACUUUUUUGGUAACAUAUAACAUUAGUUUACAUGUAUCUAUAUUGUAGGUUCUGCUUUAAUUGUAUGCUUUUUGACGUUUGGUGUCGCAAUACAAACCUUGGAUGAGCUGAAAAUUGAUUACAUAUCGGAAAUUGAGAUAAUACAAGACAUAAACAGAUAUUUUUUUAUUUCUUUCUUGAUGGUUUCUGUUGCAACAUUAUUGCACUUUUGUAAUAGAAUACUAACGAUUAUCAGUUUAUACAGUUGCAAUGCUAUCAACACACAAUGCGCAUCUGGAAGACUCUCAAUAGUGACAACUGGAAGUGGUUGGGCGGAACCUUGGGGAUAGCUUCUGAUAAAUAAUUAUCGGUUGAUAAUAAAUAACUUAUUACAAUUAAACCAACCUUGACAAAUUAUUAGUAUAUUUUUUAGACUGUGUUUGAUAACUGAUUCAUUACAGUAUGAUAUUUGUUUUUAUUCACACAUUAUUAACUGUCCUUUUUAGUCAUUUUUUAUAAAUGAUACAAAAAAAUCAUAGUUAUGAGCCAUUUUCAGACAUCUUUAGUUUGGCUGCAAAUGUUUAGAUAUAGACAUAAAGUUGUUAACAUCUACAAACGUGAUGCUUUGUUAUGGUGUAUAUUGGCAAUGCGCAGAAACUAUUAAAAGAUGAUUUAAAAAAGGAUCUCUGAAUGGGAUUUACAGACUGACAAAAUAAAGGGAAAACUCAGAAACAAUGGACCAAAAUCAAUAAUAAAAAAUAAUGGAGUGCCUCAAUAUAAUGAAAAAAAACCCAAGAAAUAAUAAUGGGGUGUUUUGAUUCAACGAAUAUAGAAUAACGGUCAAAUAGACGAGGAAUAGAAAGACAGAAAGAACCUAUAUAGACCCUCCUGUAGCGCGAAGUGAUUCCAAAAUAAGCUUCUGUUCUUUGCUUUUUGCAGUUUCAUUUUGUGUUUGAUAUAUUUGUUUUUACGCCAGAUAGUUUUUUCUCCUCAAUCGCAGUUUCUUUUCUAAACAGUUCUUGACAGCAAAAUGAUCUGUUUAUAUAUGUCCUUUCCAAAAUAUAGUACCUGGACACCGGUCAUUUGAUAAUAAAACAAGUAAGAUAUCGCUCGAAAAAAGCAAUCAAAUCAACAAUAAAAAACCAACCAAAAAUCAAAACAAAAGAAAUAUAAAAAAGGUUUCAAAAAGCACACAAAAAAGAAAACCCCUCACAAUAAUGAUGAUUUAUUGGAUAACAGCAUCUCUUAUGAAAAUUAAUUUCCCGAUGAUAUUGGAAAAACACAUUUAAACAAUAGUACGAGGUACUCAUAAAACCAAAGUAAUAGAGGAAACUAAUCGGAAAUAUGAGACUUCAAUCUACUCAACGCCACACAAUAAACACUUUCAUCGGCAAAUUAUACAUACAUUUAAUUAUAAUGUUCUUCACAUGUUAAAAAUGUAAAAAUCAAAAUGUCAUUCUCAAACAAAAUGAACCGGAAUGUAUUCAGAGCAAAUACAAUUAUUUUUGUUUUGACAAUUAUAUUUUCUUUCUAAAAAGUAAAAUCACAAAAAUACUGAACUUAGAGGAAGAUCAAUUGGGAAAGUCCAUAAUCACAUGGCAAAAUCAAAUAACAAAAAGUUUUCCUAGGAUUUUCAACGUAUACCUAGUUUAUAUGUAGUUUACCUGAUGAAGGUAAAUCCAGAACAGCGUUUCGGACGCAAUAAAUUAUUUAACGUGUUGUUUUCCAUUUUUUAUAAUCAAAGGAAAAAGAAAUGAAAUACUUGUUAUGAUAUCAAACAGGGCCAACAAUAUUAAAAUUAUGUACAUACAUGUAUAUUCUUAGUUAUACUUUUAUAUAAUUUGUAUCAAUCAUUGUUUGGGUUUCUUGUAUAAAUAAGUUAUUAUACGAUAUUUAGUUUAUUUCCAGAGGAAGUCCACGCUAUGUUCUUAUUUUUUUCAUUAUAAAAGAGGGACGAAAGAUACCAAAGGGACAGUCAAACUCAUAAAUCGAAAACAAACUGACACCGCCAUGGCUAAAAAUGAAAAAGACAAACAGAAAAACAAUAGUACUCAUGACACAACAUAGAAAACUAAAGAAUAAACAACACGAACCCCACCAAAAACUAGGGGUGAUCUCAGGUGCCCUGGAAGGGUACCAUUCUUGAAUUGGCGAAUUUUUAACUAAAUAAGAUGAUGAAGUUUGUUUGAAUAAAGUAUUCUACAUUUGAGAUUUAUUACACAGUUUUUUUUCGAACGAAGUUACGAAUAUAUGCCAACCCAGACACAUUCUUAUAAUUCCGAGCUUUGUUCCAAGCUGUCGGACCCGAAAUAUUCUUACUCUUUUGUGUUCAUUAUAAAUAUUUUUGAAUUAAGGAAUAAUGAAUAAACUGGAAAAGAUAUUGCUGUAUGUUUGUAUAUAGUAAAUAAAAGUAAGAUUCAACAUUGAACAGUUGUUAAACGUUAAUAGUAAGAAAGAUAUACCAACGCAGACACAUUAUUUGAAAUCCGAGCCGAACAGCCUUUUGUUUUGCUCCAAAAUGCGAGUAUUUCACUUUUAUAAUUAAAUUUUUGAGUUGACUUAUAACGUCAUACACUCAAAGAAGUACUAGCGAUGCCGUGAAACAAAUAUUUUGUUUAUUUUCAAAGAUAUGUUAAAGUCCAACUAAAGAUGAAGGAAUAAAUAAACUGUUGUUGUUUUAAACAUUGAAUUCAAAAAUCAUGAUGUUAUAUGAUUGACAAUGAGACAACUAUCUACCAAAGUUAAAAAAAAAAGUGGAUGUAAGCAAUUAGAGGCAACCGUACAGCCUUCGACGAUGAGAAAAAUCCAUACCGUACCCCACAUGAAAAAUAUAAAACACUUCAAUUGAAAAACCUAUGUUCUAAUUUAAAACAAAUACGCUUCACAUCCAUUGUUCGGUUUAUUUUGUUAAAUACGAGCAAAAAAAAACCCCCCAAAAAACAACAAAAAUAUAAGGCAUCAAUAUGCUUAUGCGGGGUUUUCAAAAUGUUUGAUGGAUUUGUAGGAAUAAUUUUCAACAGGUUUUUCAGCAUUCAUAAUGGAACUAGUUGUUCCUGGUAGAUUUUUUUCUGAUAUUGUAAUUAUUAUGUUUAUUUAUUAUGGCCUAAUUUGUGUUGUAUGGCCUGAUAGUUGUUUACCAAAUAAUCUUAUAACUGUGCAGUUUGUGAAUCACUGGAACAAUCACAGAAUGAUUGGAACUUUCUAGAAUGAUCCUUAUAAAAGAUGCGUAAUUUAAACUUCUACGUUAUUCCAGAAACUUCCGUUGUAACUUUCCAGGAUUUUCCACAAUGUUCCAUUAUAGAGUGUUCUAGAAUUUUCCAUGACAACACUAUAUAUACAGACACUAAAGUUAAACUCUCAUAAUUAAACUUGGACAUAGACAUUGAUAGACAUUAGUAUUCACAGCAUUUGGAUUGACACUUUUAUUCUACAAACAACAUCAUACUGGAUUGUGACAUUAGUAGUGAACGUAAUAUUCAAAUUGGAUUCCGAAAGAUUUCCGGAUACAGAUAAAGAUAACAGAUUGGACUCAUAUUUUGACAGUUAAGUUAACAGUAAUAUUUGUGUAAUACCUUUUGUAAACUUUUGUAUAUUAAAUAUUGUUAAAUUUUACUAUUGAUUUGUGUCUUUUGUUGGCUACAAUUUAAAGGCGAUUUCUGGCCGUAACAGAAAUUGGGGGCUCGUCCGGGAUCUUAAAAAUAUUUUAUUCAAAAUUUGUUUAAUAUUUUUAUUAUAACUAGCCAACAAAAUUUGAAUAUUACGUUCGUCACAAUCCAGUAUGAUGUUGUUUGUAGAAUAAAAGUGUCAAUCCAAAUGCUGUGAAUACUAAUGUCUAUCAAUGUCUAUGUCCAAGUUUAAUUAUGAGAGUUUAACUUUAGUGUCUGUAUAUAUAGUGUUGUCAUGGAAAAUUCUAGAACACUCUAUAAUGGAACAUUGUGGAAAAUCCUGGAAAGUUACAACGGAAGUUUCUGGAAUAACGUAGAAGUUUAAAUUACGCAUCUUUUAUAAGGAUCAUUCUAGAAAGUUCCAAUCAUUCUGUGAUUGUUCCAGUGAUUCCUAAACUGCACAGUUAUAAGAUUAUUUGGUAAACAACUAUCAGGCCAUACAACACAAAUUAGGCCAACAUAAAUAAACAUAAUAAUUACAAUAUCAUAACAUUAUACGAAGAUCAAAUAAGCUGGGUCAUUCGAUUUCCCAUAAAUAUAUAUGUGAUGUUCUUUCCAUUUAUCUAUUCUGUAAAUCCCAAACAGACACUCUUGCAACGCAUUUCCAAAACAAUUACCCACAAAAAUUAUCUAAAUAUUGUUUUAUACUCGCCCAUGGUUUCUCACUUACAAAUGGAUCCUCAGGAAUUAAUUCACAAUGUUUUCUUUCGUUGUAAUGGCACAAUACACUACACAUUAAUGGAUUUAUGAUAUAAUUCGGUGUUUUUAUAUAUAUUUGUAUCCCGCCGCCCAACAAAACCCCAACCAAACAAACAAAACGAACCAAAACAUACUCCAUCGAAAAACACCAUCUAAUAACCUAAAGAUUGAGCAACGCGCACCUUAUCAUAUAGAUAGGUGCCCCAGCAGGAUACCCACAUAUUGUUCCAGUCAUCGUUUUGCUCAUGUAGGUAUACAUUUGGUGGUACGUGUCAUUCGGUAGGUAACACUAAAUAGGUGUACUAAAACUUCAAAUUGUAUGAACAGAUAAUGUUAUACUUUUUGUUGUAAUUUUAGUUUAUAGUUUGUCUUUUUUUCGGUCUUUGUUUCACUGUAUGGCAUUGUGAUUUAGGUUUUACCAUAUGAGUUUGAAUAUCCCUAUGGUAUAUUCCACCUUUCUUUUAAACUAUAAAUACGUCAAUGCAAAAACAGUAUGAGAACCCUUUCAAUUUCUUAAAGCCUAUUCAAUGGUAAGGCUUAUAGAUGACAACAUGCCCUGUUCCAUAUUGGCCCUGAUAUCACAUGAGACACGCAUAUGAGCACGAAACUUUAGCCGAGGGCCGAUAUAGGUCGAGGGAUGAUACUAGGGCCAAUAUUAAAAAGACAUGUUAUAAUCUUUUUAUGACAUAUUCAAGUUCUACAGAAAAGUGAAACACGUUCAAUUAUAACUAUGUAACUGACCUCAACAGGUAAAAUCUAAAACAUUUAUCACAUUUUCCAUUAUAUUUUGUUUUUUUAUUUUAUUCAUACAAAUUUAUCUUUAAAUUUCCCAACAUUUUUAUGAAUAUGGUAAUACACAAAAGCGAUAACUUUACAUAAUUAGUUAUCAAAGGUACCAGGAUUAUAAUUUAAUACGCCAGACGCGCGUUUCGUCUACAUAAGACUCAUCAGUAACGCUCAGAUCAAAAUAGUUAUAAAGCCAAACAAGUACAAAUGAAGAGCAAUAAUGACCCUAAAUUCCAAAAAUUCCAUAACUGGGGCUAAAUCGAUAAUAGUUGGUUGCAAAUUUUUACUAAUGUCCAUUGUAGCAGCAUUCUAACAAUUUUCUAUACAAACACCAUCAUUGUUCGCCAUGCCGUAAAUCACGCAACGACGUCAUGUCAUUUGGAAUCGUUGCACAAUAACCAAUAACUAAUUUCUGGCCUCAGGCAGCAAUAUGAGUAGGACAUUUUUGCAUAUGCAAAAUCCAUUUUUGUCGUACAAAAUGUGAUAAUAUCAGAUUAUUACAUGGCAUUUUUCAUAUUGCGUGUAUUAUCAGCCCUAGGUUCAAUAUCAUGGCUCGAGGGCUGAUAUUGACCGAGGGCAUAUGUUAUUUAGUCUUAGUAUAUGAUAAUAAAAUUUAUUAUAUAAUUAGACUAAAUAACAUAUGAUUUUUACUGUAUGAUAAUAACAUUAAAUUAACGUAAAUCCCAUAUUUUUCGAAAUGGUGCUUAGCGGACUGAUAUGAAAAGUUUAUCACAUGCUUCGAUUGUUUUUACAUGCCUUUCCGUAACGUUAUCACAUGGCAUUCCGGUGAAUACUCGGCAAAUUCCGGAAAAUACACCUCAAUGCUACGUUUCCAGUGUAAAACAUUACAAAGAAGUGUACAGAACAAUUAUUUGGAUACUGGAAAGUAUAUUGUGAAAGAAAAUAAAAAAUAUUAUUUUUUUUUUAAUUAAAUAAACGCAUUUUUUGAAAGUUUCAAACAUAAUUUUAAAAGUUUCUUUAAAAAAAGUUGACUUUUCCAAACAGUGUUCAUAAUGAAUAUUGUUGAAUUAUUUUUUUUUGUCGAUUCGUCCAUAUCAAAAUAUGUUCUUCCCUGUUGAGGCUUAUGAUACUUCGAAAAGAUUUCAUAUCGUGUGUACCAAAUCUGAGGUCCGACGUCAGUGAACUUUUCAGUCUUUGAACUUCUGUUUUGGAACCACGUAAAAGGGCAAUUUUAAUGAAUCUGUUAUUUUUCUCCAUUGUUGAAGCAUAUGAUGAAAAGAUCAUAAAAUGUCAAUUUUCAUAUCUCAUGCAUUAUCAGCCCUCGGUCAAUAUCAGCCUUCGAUCCAUGCGGCUCUUGGGUUGAAAUUGAACCUAGGGCUGAUAAUACAUGCGAUAUGAAAAAUGCCAUGUAAUAAUCUGAUAAUAUUCCAUGAAAAAAAAACAAAUAAUCGCUCAUAGAUAUAUUAUAAUUUUAUGUAAAAAAAUAGACCCAUAAAUAUUCAAAUGAUAAUAAGGAAAUAAGAAAUGUUAAAAAUAAAAACGAAGAGAGAGAUCAUAUAAGAAAUUUUCUCUUAUGGUUAAUAUAAAAAAGAAGAUGUGGUAUUCUGCCAAUGAGACAACUCUCCACAAGAGACAAAAAUAACACUGAAUUAACUACUAUAGGUAACCGUUCGGCCUUCAACAAUGAGCAAAACCCAUACCGCAUAGUCAGAUAUAUAAGGGCCCGAAAUGAAAAUGUAAAACAAUUCAAACGAGGAAACUAACGGCCUUAUUUAUAUAUAAAAAAAAAAUGAACGACAAGCAAAUAUGUAACACAUAAGCAAACGACAACCACUGAGUUACAGGCUCCUGAGUCCUGUUGUCUAUUUCUUGCAUGAAUAGAUAUUUCUCGUAUCACACUAUACGGAGUGUGAUACGAAAAAGUGACACCUAACAUCACAAAACGAUAUUAUGGAAUUUCCAUUGGUUAUCCGAUAGGUCACUGAUAACCGCACAAAGGUUAGGACGAUGGACAUUUCGUCUGUGGAAACGUACAUAUGUAGGUUUUCAAUAAUAUGCAAAACACGCAGACUUUUCAUCUAAAAAUCUCCCUUUUGUCAACUUUUAUUACAUUCAAGCGUAUAGAAAAUUUUAAAAUGUCUGACGUUAAAGUUAAACAGCGGAAAAGGACAUAAGACGUCAUACUGGAAUGUGCAAAAGUUGACCAUAAGAUAAAUAGGUUUAAAAACUUAUUAUUUAAGUUCGCCGAAGUGUCGUUUAUUAUUAUAUUGAAUUUAGAUAACCCGAGUUGAUAUUCAGUGAUAUCAUAUACUUAGACUAAAUAACAUAUGCUUUUUACUGUAUGAUAAUAUCAUUAAAUUAACGUAAAUUCCAUAUUUUUCGAAUUGGUGCUAAGCGGGCUGAUAUGAAAAGUCUAUCACAUGCUUCGAUUGUUUUCACAUGCCUUUCCGUAACGUUAUCGCAUGGCAUUCCAGUUAUACUCGGCAAAUUCCGGAAAAUACACAUCAAUGCUAGUGUUUUCAGUGAAUAAACUUUAAAAGUAGUGUACAAAACUAUUAUUUGGAUAUUGUAAAGUAUAUUGUGUAAAAUAAUAACAAUAAAAAAAAACCCCAAACAAACAAACAAACAGUCAAAUUAUUAAAUAAAUGCAUUUUAAAAAGUUGAAACGUAAUUUAGAAAGUUACUUUAAAAGAGUUGACUUUUCCAAACAGUGUUCAUUAUGUAUAUUUUUGUCGAUCGUCCAUAUUAAAAUAUUUUUCUUUUCUGUUCAGGCAUAUGAUAGAAAGAUUUCAUAUCGAAUGUACUAGUUGUUGGGUUCGACGUCCAUGAACUUUUAACUCUUUAAACUUCUAUUUGGGAACUCCGUAAAAGGAUCAAUAUAUGAAUCUAUUAUUUUUCCCCAUUGUUGAAGCAUAUGAUAAAACAUCAUAACAUGUCAUUUUUCGUAUCAUCCCUCUGGCCAUGUGGCUCUUGGGCUGAUAUUGAACCUUGGGCUGAAAAUACAUGCGAUAUGCUAAAUGCCAUGUAAUAAUCUGAUAACAUCCCAUACUCACUUGUUAUGAAACUUAUAAAAAAAUGCUCAUAAUUCUCUAGCCUGUUUACCCUGUUCAGAACAUUUGUCUUCAACUGUUUUCAUUUUGCGUUUGAUUCAUUUCUUGAUUUAUCCACAGUUCCUACAACUAAACUAAUGAGAGGUUUCGAAAAAGAGAGGUUAAUGAUACCAAGAGAACAUAAAGCUUAUAGUUUUAGCUACCAAGAAUACCAGGUUUGAUCUAUCAUUUUCUACAUACAGUUUUCCGUUCGUUUGAUGAAUUUGAGCAUUUUUAUUUUUUUCAUUUGAUAACGAGACCUCUUCGUUUUGAUUUUCCUUAGAGUGCGGUAUUUUUGUUAUUUUACUUUUUACAGGUUUGUGUGAUUUCCCCCCCCCCUUUUUUUUACUUCCGUUGAAGAUUUGCACAGCUUCGACAUCUUUAGAUACAUAUGUUUUGUAUAUAUGUCCCAUUGAAGAGAAUAAUAAUUGCACAACGGUAGUAUGGUAAUAUUAAAGAAUAAAAACUAGCAAACAGAAAGUAAAAUCACAAAAAUACUGAACGUCGAUGAAAAUUCAAAAAGGAAAGUGCCUAAUCAAAUGUUAAAUCAAAAGCUCAAACUCAUCAAACGAAUUGAUAACAAGACCCUUCAAAACACUGAGGUUUUAUUGGUUAACAGCAUUAGCAUCUCUUAUGCAAAUUUAUUUCCUGAUAAUUUUCGAAAAACACAGUUAAACAAUGAAACGGGGUACUUAUAAUUUGAAGCUGAUUGAGGAAACUCAUCAAACUUUAGAGAGUACAAACUACUCAACGCUGUACAUAUAACCCUUUGGUCGGCAUUUUAUAUAGACAUUUAAUGUUCAUUUGCAUGUUGAAAAAAUGUAAAAUAAAAUGCCACGCUCAACAAAAUGGACAAAUCUAACUAAAGCAAAAAUAGUUAUCUUCUUUUUUACAAUGGCAGCACUUUUUUUUUGCUUGUCCUGGGAUUUUCAACACUAUUUUGAAUGUUGAUAUCACUGUAUCAUCUAUCAUAGCUGGCGAAAUAUUUUUCAUAUAUCAGGAAAAGCAAUAGAAAUGAAAAACUCGAUACGAUAAUUAACAAGACAAGCAGAAUUAUAAGUGAGUCUAACAUAAUAAGAGAUAUACUUUUGUAGUUUAAUUUGUAUCAAUUAUAUAUGUUUUUUUUAUUAAUACAUUAGACAUUAUGUUAUAUUUUUUUCCAGAUGUCAGCCGCGAGAUCGGAUUUCUAUUUUUUUUCCUCUUUUUUCAUGAUUAUCAAAAUUGUGAAGAAUGAAUAAACUAGGAAGUUCAAAACUGUAGGAUUUAACCUAGCUUUGGAUUAUCUUACAUCGUUUCACACUCCAAGAAGUACCAUA